RNAcentral lists this long non-coding RNA (1319 nucleotides) under Numida meleagris (helmeted guineafowl). RNAcentral describes it as "lncRNA (ENSNMEG00000017891.1)". The record is from RNAcentral. Lineage: Eukaryota; Metazoa; Chordata; Aves; Galliformes; Numididae.
UUUUGGGUCGAGUAAUUAUACAUCCACAGGAAGAGAAGGGCAUACUGCCAAAGCUUUUCAAGUGCUAUCUCAGCAAUGCAAAAGACUUGGCAUUUCCCACUGUCAUUUUUCAUUCUCAAAGUGCAAUAAACAUAUGCUGAAGAAAAUAUUUCAAGUACCUGGGAAGGGAAGAGCAGCCCAGUACACUAUCAGCUCUACUCUACUGGACAUUCUUCAUUAUUUUGCUAAAUGAAGACGUCAUUAGAAACUAGUACUGACCUAGUGUCAAUGGUUUACAGGCGUUAGGCCCGAUUCUGUGACAAAGGGGACAGGGGACCCACGGGCCCAUGUCCCAGGGAAAGGGAAAAAGGGUAGGGAGAUGGCCCUGAGAGCAAAGAACAGCGGCAACAAUCUGAGGAGAAACAAACUAAUUUACUAAAUAAGAUAUCGGAAUGCGAAACAACACACUAUAAUAUAAUAUAAUUACAAUUUAAGCUGAUAAAUCCAAUACAGAGAGAGAGAAUGUCCCAAAAUCAAGGUAGGCCUUACUCUACUACCGACGAUAAGACGGCUGGAGAGCGAGGUGCUGCCAAGACGAGAGACGGCGGGAAAAGGGAUGAGGUCUCGUGAUCUGCAAGUUUUUAUACUGCGAGCUUUUAUCUUUUCCCUCUGGCUGGAAAAUGGUAACAGAGGAGCAAAGUGCCAUGGGGAAUGUAGUAGUCCUUCUCUUCUGAGAACCAGGUACAUUCACUACAUGAUGUUAUGAUGUAGAGUACCAAUAACCAAAAAUCAUAAAACCAUGACACCUAGGUAGCUAUCACAGAAAGAAUUAUCCUUUUUGUUACUGUUGCACAGAUGUACCAUAUUUCUCCAUCAUCUAUUUUUUAGUAAUCAGAAUAAGGCAAGUAAUCCUCCAGCGUUACAUAGCAGACACCAUACAAACUGCUGUGUUUCAAGAGAACAAGUUUUAAAGUCCAGUCUUCAGUUUUCUUAAUCUGUUCUCAUGUUUAGUCCAGGAAACAGAAUGAGGAAAGAGAUGAGUAUAUUGCUGCAGUUUAGUACCAGUGUUUCCAUCGACCUGUGUGGAUUCAGCAAGAAAUGUCCCAAGAAACAAUGGAACAGAGGAUGGAAAACAACAGUGACAUCCACCUUUGUGCCAGGCAUAGUGCCAGUACUCCCGAGCCACACAGGCACCUGUUUCCAACCUCGCAUUCGUGCUUGUAAGUGAAGACAUGCUCAUUGACGUAUAUUAACAAUUUCUCCCCCAAACAAUUUUAAAAACAACUUCCACUUUUAUUUUCAAUUAUGUUACUUCUCAUUUAGGCAUAUCUGAAUCUCCA